This 659-nucleotide unclassified non-coding RNA is filed under the name uncultured Prochlorococcus sp. RNAcentral's name for it is "partial 16S-23S ribosomal RNA intergenic spacer; may also contain 16S ribosomal RNA and 23S ribosomal RNA". The stretch from base 304 to 376 matches the Rfam family "tRNA". The record is from RNAcentral. Lineage: Bacteria; Bacillati; Cyanobacteriota; Cyanophyceae; Synechococcales; Prochlorococcaceae.
UUGUGGAGGAGGACGCCGAAGGUGGGGCUAAUGACUGGGGUGAAGUCGUAACAAGGUAGCCGUACCGGAAGGUGCGGCUGGAUCACCUCCUAACAGGGAGACAACAAAAUGUUUAAUAUUAAUUUUGUCACCUUAGGUCGAUCGGUAUCUCAGAUUCUUAAUUAAUUAAGAAUUUCAUUUCCUAAGUUUUUUCUAGGUCACACCCAUUACUUUUCCUGGGCCAUUAGCUCAGGUGGUUAGAGCGCACCCCUGAUAAGGGUGAGGUCCCUGGUUCAAGUCCAGGAUGGCCCAUAUCUCGAUGUUGGGGGUAUAGCUCAGUUGGUAGAGCGCCUGCUUUGCAAGCAGGAUGUCAGCGGUUCGAGUCCGCUUACCUCCACUGAUUACCACCUCUUUCAUAAUCUUAUGAGAAAGGAAAUGUUUUAAAUGUGAUGUAAUUCUGGACGAAUCUAGCUUCCUAAUGAAUUAAUUUAGAUAAAUCAUUAAGAUGCUGGACUCAUUGAAUUAAUUUCUUUGUUUUCAGAGAACCUUGACAACUGCAUAGAUUAUUUUUAAAGACAAUAAGCAUCUUUAAUGAUGCAGAUUUAUUAUUUUUGCAAAUGCAUUAAUAACAAUUCUAUUAAGCUGAUGCUUCAAUUUUGAAGUUAUUGGUCAAGCUACAA